Molecule: ribosomal RNA, 254 nt
Filed under: uncultured prokaryote
Description: partial 16S ribosomal RNA
Rfam family: Bacterial small subunit ribosomal RNA
Source: RNAcentral
ACGGGGGGGGGCAAGCGUUGUUCGGAAUUACUGGGCGUAAAGGGCUCGUAGGCGGCCGACUAAGUCAGACGUGAAAUCCCUCGGCUUAACCGGGGAACUGCGUCUGAUACUGGUGGGCUUGAGUUUGGGAGAGGGAUGCGGAAUUCCAGGUGUAGCGGUGAAAUGCGUAGAUAUCUGGAGGAACACCGGUGGCGAAGGCGGCAUCCUGGACCAUAACUGACACUGAUAAGCGAAAGCCAGGGGAGCAAACGGGA